RNAcentral lists this ribosomal RNA (412 nucleotides) under uncultured Alphaproteobacteria bacterium. Its description in RNAcentral is "bacterial SSU rRNA". It matches the Rfam family "Bacterial small subunit ribosomal RNA", at positions 55 to 510 of the family's 1533-position model. Lineage: Bacteria; Pseudomonadati; Pseudomonadota; Alphaproteobacteria. The record is from RNAcentral.
AUGCAGUCAAGGUAGGAGGACUUCGGUCCUGUGGAACUGGCGCACGGGUGAGUACGCGUGGGAAUCUCCCCGGGGUGGGGAAUACCACUGGAAACGGUGGCUAUACCGCAUACGCCUUGAGAGGGAAAGCUCUAUGCGCCCUGGGAUGAGCCCGCGUCGGAUUAGUUUGUUGGUGGGGUAACGGCCUACCAAGGCUACGAUCCGUAGCUGGUCUGUGAGGAUGAUCAGCCACACUGGGACUGAGACACGGCCCAUACUCCUACGGGAGGCAGCAGUGAGGAAUAUUGGACAAUGGGGGAAACCCUGAUCCAGCCAUGCCGCGUGCGUGAAGAAGGCCUUAGGGUUGUAAAGCGCUUUCAACGGGGAAGAUGAUGACGGUACCCGUAGAAGAAGCCCCGGCUUCUCCGUGCCA